This is a long non-coding RNA of Bos taurus (domestic cattle), 967 nucleotides long. Lineage: Eukaryota; Metazoa; Chordata; Mammalia; Artiodactyla; Bovidae. The record is from Ensembl.
AAUUUUAUUCUAGUGGGAUGGCAGUGGAGCGCAGACAAGAAGAAGGUAUGGGAUUGGAAUGAAAACUGACCUCUUCCAGUCCUGUGGCCACUGCUGAGUUUUCCAAGUUUGCUGGCAUAGUGAGUACAGCACUUUCACAGUAUCAUCUUUUAAGAUUUGAAAUAACUCAACUGGAAUUCCAUCACCUCCACUAGCUUUGUUCAUAGUGAUGCUUUCUAAGGCCACCUCACUUCACAUUCCAGGAUGUCUGGCCCUAGAAGCUGAGAAGCUAAGCAGAUCUUUUGUUGUCUUGGAGCUAAGGGAAAAGAAAAAAUGGAGUAGAUGAAUGACCAUAAAGAAGGCACUGCCCUCAACUUUGUGAUCAGCACCACGCCAUGUCCAAAAUCUGCUUGCCAGCCUAGAGGAAAGAGAACAGGGGCCCAGGACCAGCAACUUGACUUUUAAUUUGGAACUGACCCAGAAGUCAUGUAUAUAAUUUUUGCUCUCAUUUCCUUAAAGAGAAUGGAGUCAGAUAGCCACGCAGGUUGCCACAAGGCUGGGAAAUGUGAUCUCCAGCUUUGAUGCCACUUUUCCAGCUUUGACUCUCUUUCUGUGAAAAGAGCCAGGGAUUAAAAUUUGGUGUAAGUUAGUCAUCUCUGCUGGGCUUCCCAAGUGGCUCAUCAGGUAAAGAAUCCCGUUAACACAGGAGAUAGAUGCAGAAGGUGUGGGUUGGAUCCCUGGGUGGGGAAGAUACUUUUGGAGGAGGAAACGACAACCCACUCCAGUAUGUCUGCCUGGAAAAUUCCAUGGACAGAGGAGCCUGCUGGGCUACAGUUCAUGGGGUCACAAAGAGUCAGGCAUGACUGAGCAUACACAUACACACACACACACACACACACAUGCAUGCACACACGCACACAGUGAACUCUGCCACAGAGACUAUAUUCAUUUAUUUUUAUAAAUCUUGAAAUAUUUUUCAAAGUUGCUG